This 253-nucleotide ribosomal RNA is filed under the name uncultured bacterium. RNAcentral's name for it is "partial 16S ribosomal RNA". It matches the Rfam family "Bacterial small subunit ribosomal RNA", at positions 524 to 776 of the family's 1533-position model. The record is from RNAcentral.
UACGUAGGGGGCUAGCGUUGUCCGGAAUUAUUGGGCGUAAAGCGCACAUAGGCGGCUAUCUAAGUCGGAUGUGAAAUCCCUCGGCUUAACCAAGGAAGUGCACCCGAAACUGGAUAGCUUGAGUACAGAAGAGGAUCGCGGAAUUCCCGGUGUAGAGGUGAAAUUCGUAGAUAUCGGGAGGAACACCAGUGGCGAAGGCGGCGAUCUGGGCUGAUACUGACGCUGAGGUGCGAAAGCGUGGGGAGCAAACAGG